RNAcentral lists this ribosomal RNA (454 nucleotides) under Salmonella enterica. RNAcentral describes it as "partial 16S ribosomal RNA". It matches the Rfam family "Bacterial small subunit ribosomal RNA", at positions 108 to 558 of the family's 1533-position model. Lineage: Bacteria; Pseudomonadati; Pseudomonadota; Gammaproteobacteria; Enterobacterales; Enterobacteriaceae. RNAcentral also lists the same sequence under 2 other names. The record is from RNAcentral.
GAGUAAUGUCUGGGAAACUGCCUGAUGGAGGGGGAUAACUACUGGAAACGGUGGCUAAUACCGCAUAACGUCGCAAGACCAAAGAGGGGGACCUUCGGGCCUCUUGCCAUCAGAUGUGCCCAGAUGGGAUUAGCUUGUUGGUGAGGUAACGGCUCACCAAGGCGACGAUCCCUAGCUGGUCUGAGAGGAUGACCAGCCACACUGGAACUGAGACACGGUCCAGACUCCUACGGGAGGCAGCAGUGGGGAAUAUUGCACAAUGGGCGCAAGCCUGAUGCAGCCAUGCCGCGUGUAUGAAGAAGGCCUUCGGGUUGUAAAGUACUUUCAGCGGGGAGGAAGGUGUUGUGGUUAAUAACCGCAGCAAUUGACGUUACCCGCAGAAGAAGCACCGGCUAACUCCGUGCCAGCAGCCGCGGUAAUACGGAGGGUGCAAGCGUUAAUCGGAAUUACUGGG